Molecule: transfer RNA, 85 nt
Filed under: Felis catus (domestic cat)
Lineage: Eukaryota; Metazoa; Chordata; Mammalia; Carnivora; Felidae
Rfam family: tRNA
About the family: Transfer RNA (tRNA) molecules are approximately 80 nucleotides in length.
Source: Rfam by way of RNAcentral
ACCUGGGUGGCUCAGUCGGUUGAGCAUCCAACUUUGGCUCAGGUCAUGAUCUCGCAGUUCGCGGGUUCAAGUCCCGCAUCAGGCU